CAAGAAGUAGCUUACACCCCAAAGCACCCAACUUACAAUUGAGAGACGUCCCCUAAGACCUUCUUGC
This 67-nucleotide transfer RNA is filed under the name Crossobamon orientalis. Its description in RNAcentral is "tRNA-Val". The record is from RNAcentral. Lineage: Eukaryota; Metazoa; Chordata; Lepidosauria; Squamata; Gekkonidae.